This 514-nucleotide ribosomal RNA is filed under the name uncultured bacterium. RNAcentral's name for it is "partial 16S ribosomal RNA". It matches the Rfam family "Bacterial small subunit ribosomal RNA", at positions 28 to 523 of the family's 1533-position model. The record is from RNAcentral.
GAUGAACGCUGGCGGCGUGCCUAAUACAUGCAAGUCGAGCGAACAGAUGAGAAGCUUGCUUCUCUGAUGUUAGCGGCGGACGGGUGAGUAACACGUGGGUAACCUACCUAUAAGACUGGGAUAACUCCGGGAAACCGGGGCUAAUACCGGAUAGUAUUUUGAACCGCAUGGUUCAAUAGUGAAAGACGGUUUCGGCUGUCACUUAUAGAUGGACCCGCGCCGUAUUAGCUAGUUGGUAAGGUAACGGCUUACCAAGGCGACGAUACGUAGCCGACCUGAGAGGGGGAUCGACCACACUGGAACUGAGACACGGUCCAGACUCCUACGGGAGGCAGCAGUAGGGAAUCUUCCGCAAUGGGCGAAAGCCUGACGGAGCAACGCCGCGUGAGUGAUGAAGGUCUUCGGAUCGUAAAACUCUGUUGUUAGGGAAGAACAAAUUUGUUAGUAACUGAACAAGUCUUGACGGUACCUAACCAGAAAGCCACGGCUAACUACGUGCCAGCCGCCGCUGUAA